GAUGAAGAACGUAGCGAAAUGCGAUACUUGGUGUGAAUUGCAGAAUCCCGUGAACCAUCGAGUCUUUGAACGCAAGUUGCGCCCGAAGCCAUUAGGCCGAGGGCACGCCUGCCUGGGCGUCACACGUCGUUGCCCCCCCAUCUACUCCUUCGGGAUUGCGGGGGGCGGAUGAUGGCCUCCCGUGCGCCUCGUCGCGCGGUUGGCAUAAAUGCCAAGUCCUCGGCGACGCACGCCACGACAAUCGGUGGUUGCGAAACCUCGGUUGCCCGUCGUGUGCGGUCGUCGCGCAUCGAGGGCUCGAAAAAAUUGCCGGGCUCCGGCUCGGCUUUCAACGCGACCCCAGGUCAGGCGGGGUUACCCGCUGAAUUUAAGCAUAUCAAAGCGGAGGA
RNAcentral lists this unclassified non-coding RNA (389 nucleotides) under soil metagenome. RNAcentral describes it as "partial contains 5.8S ribosomal RNA, internal transcribed spacer 2, and large subunit ribosomal RNA". The stretch from base 1 to 122 matches the Rfam family "5.8S ribosomal RNA", at positions 35 to 154 of the family's 154-position model. The record is from RNAcentral.